CCUAGGGAGGCAGCAGUGGGGAAUAUUGGACAAUGGGCGAAAGCCUGAUCCAGCCAUGCCGCGUGGUGAAGAAGGCCUUAGGGUUGUAAACCCCUUUCAGCGGGGAAG
Molecule: ribosomal RNA, 108 nt
Filed under: uncultured Halomonas sp.
Lineage: Bacteria; Pseudomonadati; Pseudomonadota; Gammaproteobacteria; Oceanospirillales; Halomonadaceae
Description: partial 16S ribosomal RNA
Rfam family: Bacterial small subunit ribosomal RNA
Source: RNAcentral